Molecule: long non-coding RNA, 6418 nt
Organism: Antechinus flavipes (yellow-footed antechinus)
Lineage: Eukaryota; Metazoa; Chordata; Mammalia; Dasyuromorphia; Dasyuridae
Exons: 2
Source: RefSeq, a predicted model, not a curated record
UACCAUAUAUAUUUGAGAAAUGAUAAGGGAACUAUAAUCCUCUCCAAAACCCCCGUAAUACCUCUUGCCUUUUCCUGAAAAGCACAAAAACUGCCUAGAAUCUUGGGACAGGAUAAGCCACCAAAAAUCUUGUGCCAAGGUUGCCCCUCAUUCUCAGUUUACUAUUUCACCACUUUCUUGGACAUGUUGCUCUCCAAAGAAGUCCCCUCAAGGGCAAGACCUUGGUUACCUGCAGCCCUAGCUGGAGAGAGCCAGGAACCAGCAUGAAACCAGAAAGAAGAAGACAGCUUAGACUCUACUUGCCUUUAAGCCUUGAAAGUCAGGCUUCCAUAGAUAGAGCAUUAAGCCAGAAUCCCCACCUUUAGACUACCCCCUGAUGAUGCUUAAAGUUCAUUUGUGAAAUAGGGAUAGCCCUUAAAACAGAUUCACGGUCCCCUUUACCAAUCUAGUGUAGCCUAUGGGGAUUCCUUCUCAGAAGAGUUACCUAUAUUCAUAAAGAAAAAGCUAUAGUUAGGUCCAGUGAAAAUAAAUGUAACUUUUUUCUUUAUCAAAAUUCAUGACCCCCCCCCCCCAUAUGUAACCAUAUCUAUCCAACCCAGAUUAAGGAUCCCUGCCUUAACAUUGGAACACUAAUGCAUUGUUGGUGGAGUUGGGAACUAAUCCAAACGUUUUGGAGAGCCAUUUGGAGCUAUGACCAAAGGACUAUAAAAAGAGUAAUACCUCCACUCUACUAGGUCUGUACCACAAAAACUUCAUUUAAAAAAAAAAAAAGGAAAAGGAAAAAGACCCUUAUAUACAAAAAUUUUUAUAGAACUCUUUAUUGUGACAGAGAACUGGAAAUUGGGGAAUGACUAAGUAAGUUAUGGUAUAUGAAUGUAAUGGAAUAUUAUUGUUCUAUAAGAAAUGAUGAGCAGGUUGAUUUCGGAAAAGCCUGGAAUGACUUACAUGAUCUGAUCCUGAGUGAGCAAGAUUAUGUGAUGACCAACUAUGAUAGAUUUUGCUCUUCUCAGAUACAAUUUCUAAGGGACUUAUGAUGGAAAAGACUAUCCACAUUCAAAGAACUGAUAGAGUCUGAAGGCAGAUUGAAGCAUACUCUUUUCUCCUUUGUCUUUUUUAAUGUUAUUUUUCCUUGUUUUUUUUCCCCUUUUGUUCUGAUUCUUCUUUCACAAGAUGACUAGUACAGAAAUGUUUAUUAAUAAGUUUGUACAUAUAUAACCUAUAUCAGAUUUCCUUGUCUUGGCGGAGGGGGAAGAGAAGGAAGUUAAGAAAAAGCAAACUCUUAUAAUAGUUACUACACAUAUAUAACCCAUAUUAGAUUGCUUACUAUCUUGGGAAGGAAGAAAUUAAAUUAAAAUCUUAUAAAAGGAAAUGUCAAAAACGAAUAAAAUUUUAAAAAGAAUCCCUGCCUUUAAAAAGUAAAGACUUGAAGAAGUUAAGGGCUCAAAUUUGGAACUAUGCUCAAAAAGUUAUCAAGCUGUGCAUACCCUUUGAUCCAGCAGUGUUUCUACUGGGCUUAUACCCCAAAGAGAUACUAAAGAAAGGAAAGGGACCUGUAUGUGCCAAAAUGUUUGUGGCAGCCCUGUUUGUAGUGGCUAGAAGCUGGAAAAUGAAAGGAUGUCCAUCAAUUGGAGAAUGGCUGAGUAAAUUGUGGUAUAUGAAUGUUAUGGAAUAUUAUUGUUCUGUAAGGAAUGACCUUACAGAUAAAUACAGAGAGGACUGGCGAGACUUACAUGAACUGAUGCUGAGUGAAAUGAGCAGAACCAGGAGAUCACUAUAUACCUCAACAACGAUACUGUUUGAGGAUGUAUUCUGAUGGAAGUGGACCUCUUUGAUAAAGAGAGCCUUAAUUGAUCAAAGAUGGACAGAAGCAGCUACACCCAGAGAAAGAACACUGGAAAUGAAUAUAAACUGCUCGCAUUUUUGUUUUUCCUCCCGGGUUAUUUAUACCUUCUGAAUUCAAUUCUCCCUGUGCAACAAGAAAACUGUUUGGUUCUGCACACAUAUAUUGUAUCUAGGAUAUACUGCAACCCAUUCAACAUGUAAAGGAUUCUUGCCAUCUGGGGGGAAGGGGUGGAGGGAGGGAGGGGAAAAAUCGGAACAGAAAUGAAUGCAAGGGAUUAAUGCUGUAAAAAAUUACCCUGGCAUGCGUUCUAUCAAUAAAAAAAUUAUUAAAAAAAAAAAAAAAAAAGAAGUUAAGGGCUCAGAAAAUAUUUUCUCACAAAGGCACCUGUUACUGAAUAUGAUUGAUCUGGGAGGAGUUAGAGCCCGUGUUUGGAGACAUAUGCGAUGGUACUUAGCUCUGUCAUUCUUGUAGCCUUGCUAGUACUCUUGAGUACAGGUUGGGGGCAGGGUAGAAUUAUGAAAACCUAUAACCACUUCCUUCUUCCUUGUGUAGCUCCAAAUUAUCUAUUUCCCCAAAUAUCUCCCCAUUUUCAGCCUUCCAUCCUGAGAAAAUUUUAAAGUACAAUUGUCCCGUUUCCUAGCCAAGGCCCUAGAGUAGUUAUGGCCAGAAGUUUUAAUUACAGCACCCGCUUCCUUCCCAAGUCAAGCCCCUUCCCCAAGUUUAUUAUUAACAGCCUCUGCUUAAGCCUUAAGAUAUACACUGCUUAUAUCAGACAACAGAGAAGGAUAAGGAGAAUAGAGAUGGACUCCUAAUCUGUCUUUAUUUGGGAUCAGAAGAAACUAGAUGCUAAACUGAGACAGAACAAUUUAUGAACCCCUAGUCAGAGAACCUUUGUUCUGUUCCUCCACAUCCCUCCCUUUAUUUACAAAUGGAGGAACUGAUUCCUAGACAAAGGAAGUGACUCAACAAAAAUAUAUAGAUUUUGGAGCCAGAAUUAUCAGAGCCACGUUAUCACCAGGCUCUUUCCCAAGCAAUGGAGACCCUCUUUCUUACUGUUUCCAACAAGCCACAGGGACACACUUCAGGAAUUUGAACUUGUUUUGGCUAUAACCUACUCAACCUGACCCCUAGGAGGGCUGGCCAGAACUCAAAGCAAAGCUGAAUUUCAGAAACAGGGAAAAGCUCUCAGGCCUUAUCACCCAACUCAGCUCCAGGGUCUCCCUCACAAAUCAAGCAAAUCAGCCCAUAGGGGAGGCUGUGCAAGGAAACCUCAAAGAGGGGAACCAGAGUCCUCUCACUGGAAGAAUGUGGUCCAACCUGUCUGAGCAAACACAGGACCAGGGAGGGGCAGUAGGGGGUAUUGGGAGGGCGUCAGCACAGUGAGACUAAAACACUAAGACAAGUCCUCCCCAGUCAACACUGAUUAACUUGAGAUGAAAAGUUAGCUCCACUCCAUCCUCCCUUUCCUCUGAGUUUGGGCUGAGUUUAUACAAGGUAAAAAGUCCAAGGUGUCCCCAUGUUAAGACUAAGGUAGCUCCUACCUAUUUCUCUGCCCCACCCCAGAGUUCCUAGGAGGAAGGCCUCAAGAGGAAGGGGUGCUGUGACAGGUAGCAGAAAUUUAAACUCUACACGCCCAGGCAUACCAGGAAGUGUGCUAUUUAAAGGAGACAGCUCUGAGUCUUUUGUUUACCAGGUGUACCGGCAGAUUUCCCCUUCCCCCUUCAGCAUUCACAUAAAGCAUCCUCCACGGCCUCAAGAAUCACCAUCCUUUCCUCUCCUUCUCCUGGGGUUCCCCAUCAAGGGCUUCCUAUUAGCCCAAAGGUUGCAGCCCCGGAAGUGUAUGUGGUUCAAGGGCAGUCACGGAAUCCCAGGCUGUACCUGGCUCUCAUCUACCUCCUUCCAGGAGUUAGGAAACCUAGAAACAGCCUGUCAGCUCAGUCCCAGGCGCCCCUGCUUCAGGCUCUACUUCUAUGGUCCAUGAAUAUUUUAGAAGCCUCUUCAGUUCUCUUUCCAGCUGAGGGUGGAGGGCCAGGGCCCAAGAACAGUUGGCUGAGGGCCAGUGGAGUACUUUUCAUCCACCCUUAGUGGCCUGUCACUUAUGACCCUGUCCCUGACCCCUGCCAGAGCAAAUCAGAGGCAGAGGAUCCAGGCUGUUUCAGAGUCGCUGAAGAAGCCUCUCUGCUCACCCACUGCAUCCCUCCUCAGACCCACAGUCCCUUGGUCUUCUAGGAGAUCUAGCUCAGUAUUUCAGAACAAGCCUCUACUCAGACAUGGGCUGACCAGGCCAAGGAGCUUGUCAGACUUCAGUUUCCUGGCCCACAAAGGGAGCUUUCUUCGCUGUUACCAGGGCAGGUUUCCGAUCCCAGCAGCCAUGGUCCCAGUGUAUGCUGAGGUUCCAGGCAGAGUCAGGGAGCCCAGCUCCAACCAGGGUCAUAGGAGUGGAGGAGGGGCUGAGGCAAGGCCUAGCAACUGAGAACCCCCAGAAAUCCCAGUUCCAACCCCUGCCCUCAGAAGCUUCUUUUCACCUUGAGGCCACAUCUUAAAACCAACCCCCUUUCCUGUCUGAUUCACAGAAAGACUAGAGGUACCCUAGACUGAGGGGCUCCUUUCUAAGCGGUAGGAAGGAACUCACUACCUCCUCCUUUUAUCCUUGACUCGUUUGGCUUGCAAAAGAUGAAGGAAAAGGACUGAAUCCUAGAUAAAACCCUACUGCACUCAGAUGGCUAUUAUAUUGAUUCUUCCUUCCCCAUGGAAGGAGUUCCAAGAACCUGCCCCAGGGGAACUCUGACAUCUUAAGGCAGAAGUGAGGUAGAGGGGGUAGGAAGUCUUUUUAAUCUCUAAGUGGCUUUUUAUAAGUCUAAAAAAUCUUAUCUGUAAAAAGGGGAGACAGCUAUUAAGAUACUAAAGACUUCUGGAUCAUGCAGAUCUUUCUCCAACUACUUCUUGGUCUCAUUCUGUCUUCUCAUUUCUUGUUGCCCUUUCAAUGUUGUCUAUCACCCAGGGCUCCAUCCUUGGGCUCUUUGGUCUAUUAAAAAAGUCUGGAGGGGAGGAGGGGAGAAGGGAAAAGAUUCUAAAUCUUGAAUCACACUUCUGAUAUUUGAAUUCUACUCGUGUAGUUUCAGGCAAAUCACUGGACCUUUCUGGCAAUCAAAUUUCUCAUCUUUAAAGAGACUGAGGCUGCAUGUAUCCAUUGUCCUUCCCAAAUCUAAACCUAAUUUCAUAGAAUAUAUAUAAUUUUUUUUCCUCUGUAAAAAUCUAAGGUCCUUUACUGUUCUACUCUAAUCCCAGGAUAGGUCCAUGAGAAUGAGCACUUCUAUUCCCCUCCCCCACUCCUCCUAGUGUCCCUAUUCAAGUCCCCAGAGUCCUGAACCCUUUCUCUUAGUUUAAGUCUCUGCUAGACCUAAUAUCAAGCCUGAUGGUCAGUUUCAUACGGCCUUGUAACCAAGGGAACCAUUAGAUUUGAACUCAAACUCUGACAGUUACUAGUUGCCUAACCUUAAACCUCUAUUUGCCUCAGUCUCCUCAACUUUAAAGGGUUAUGAAGACCAAAUGACCAAAUGAGAUAUUUGUUUAAAAAAAAAAAAAAGCAAGUUCUAGAUAAAUGCUUAGUCCCUUCCCCAUCUGUACCACAGCACAAAUCCUCUACUGUCCCAGCCGAGUUACAGCCUAAGACUGUGGGGUUCAUAACAUUUAGUCUGGCCUGAUGCCCAGGGCUGAAUCUCCCCCCUUCUGAGGCAAGUAAGCAAACUUUGUUCCAAACAUCCUUUGGAGCUGAGAAAAGUUUGUUCUUUAUUUUAUCUCUCCCACACACAUACCUCAGCAGGUAAGUUAUUAACUGAUCAGUUCCUGCUCUGGGAAAGUCCAGUCACUCAGAGCCAGGGCUCCCUCCUGGAAACCUGGAACCUGCUUCAGAAAACCCAAUGGCCAAGCAGCUUCCCCAGGGAAGGCCCCACCUUCCCAGCAGGCCUGUGGUAACCAUGGAGAUUAUACAGCUGGCCAGUAGACUGGGGGAAGCCGAGCCAGGCAAGGCCAGAACUCGGAGGCGCCAACGUUCUGAGGAGAGGGAAAUGACCUAGCACCAGGGUCUGGGCCCUCACCGGGGAGGGAAAUCCAAGCCCAGCCCUAGCCCAGAGGGCCUUGGCUCAGGAAGGGCGAUUCCAGAGAGAGGGAAAGCCUGGCCGGGACCUUCAGUAGGUCUGUGGGUCCCAACGCAGCUGGUUCUAAUGCCCAGGCUUGGAUAAGACACCUCAGGAGAUGGGCCAAUGAGAACAGUGAGAAGUACAUCGCAAGCCCUGGCCUGGGCUGCGGCUAAGGGAAGGUUCAAAGGGAGAAGGGAAUCCUGGUCUCUAGUGGGAGGCUUCACAGAAGGGAGAAGAAAAGUCUACAGGACGGAGUCUCCUUCAUAAUCCAAACCACGAAGUGCAGCAGUGGAUACAGUGCUUAACCUGGACUAAAGAAAAUCUGAGCUCCAGUCCAGCUUCAAACUUCUUUACUAAUUGUGUGACCCUAUGCAGAUCACUUAAUCUCUGUCUUGCCUCAGUUUCGCCUUACUUAAAAUAAAGAAUAAUAAAAGCA